RNAcentral lists this unclassified non-coding RNA (182 nucleotides) under rhizosphere metagenome. Its description in RNAcentral is "partial ribosomal RNA internal transcribed spacer region". The record is from RNAcentral.
GAGUAUCAUGCCCUCACGGGUAGAUCUCCACCCUUGAAUAACAUACCUCUGUUGCUUUGGCAGGCCCCAUUUCCAGCGACCUCGGCUGUUGAGUGACUGCCAGAGGACCACAACUCUUGUUUUUAGUGGUGUCUGAGUACUAUAUAAUAGUUAAAACUUUCAACAACGGAUCUCUUGGUUCU